This 1372-nucleotide ribosomal RNA is filed under the name uncultured bacterium. Its description in RNAcentral is "bacterial SSU rRNA". It matches the Rfam family "Bacterial small subunit ribosomal RNA", at positions 28 to 1381 of the family's 1533-position model. The record is from RNAcentral.
GAUGAACGCUGGCGGCGUGCCUAAUACAUGCGAGUCGAGCGAACGGACGAGAAGCUUGCUUCUCUGAUGUUAGCGGCGGACGGGUGAGUAACACGUGGAUAACCUACCUAUAAGACUGGGAUAACUUCGGGAAACCGGAGCUAAUACCGGAUAAUAUUUUGAACCGCAUGGUUCAAAAGUGAAAGACGGUCUUGCUGUCACUUAUAGAUGGAUCCGCGCUGCAUUAGCUAGUUGGUAAGGUAACGGCUUACCAAGGCAACGAUGCAUAGCCGACCUGAGAGGGUGAUCGGCCACACUGGAACUGAGACACGGUCCAGACUCCUACGGGAGGCAGCAGUAGGGAAUCUUCCGCAAUGGGCGAAAGCCUGACGGAGCAACGCCGCGUGAGUGAUGAAGGUCUUCGGAUCGUAAAACUCUGUUAUUAGGGAAGAACAUAUGUGUAAGUAACUGUGCACAUCUUGACGGUACCUAAUCAGAAAGCCACGGCUAACUACGUGCCAGCAGCCGCGGUAAUACGUAGGUGGCAAGCGUUAUCCGGAAUUAUUGGGCGUAAAGCGCGCGUAGGCGGUUUUUUAAGUCUGAUGUGAAAGCCCACGGCUCAACCGUGGAGGGUCAUUGGAAACUGGAAAACUUGAGUGCAGAAGAGGAAAGUGGAAUUCCAUGUGUAGCGGUGAAAUGCGCAGAGAUAUGGAGGAACACCAGUGGCGAAGGCGACUUUCUGGUCUGUAACUGACGCUGAUGUGCGAAAGCGUGGGGAUCAAACAGGAUUAGAUACCCUGGUAGUCCACGCCGUAAACGAUGAGUGCUAAGUGUUAGGGGGUUUCCGCCCCUUAGUGCUGCAGCUAACGCAUUAAGCACUCCGCCUGGGGAGUACGACCGCAAGGUUGAAACUCAAAGGAAUUGACGGGGACCCGCACAAGCGGUGGAGCAUGUGGUUUAAUUCGAAGCAACGCGAAGAACCUUACCAAAUCUUGACAUCCUUUGACAACUCUAGAGAUAGAGCCUUCCCCUUCGGGGGACAAAGUGACAGGUGGUGCAUGGUUGUCGUCAGCUCGUGUCGUGAGAUGUUGGGUUAAGUCCCGCAACGAGCGCAACCCUUAAGCUUAGUUGCCAUCAUUAAGUUGGGCACUCUAAGUUGACUGCCGGUGACAAACCGGAGGAAGGUGGGGAUGACGUCAAAUCAUCAUGCCCCUUAUGAUUUGGGCUACACACGUGCUACAAUGGACAAAACAAAGGGCAGCGAAACCGCGAGGUCAAGCAAAUCCCAUAAAGUUGUUCUCAGUUCGGAUUGUAGUCUGCAACUCGACUACAUGAAGCUGGAAUCGCUAGUAAUCGUAGAUCAGCAUGCUACGGUGAAUACGUUCCCGGGUCU